GCCCGGUUAGCUCAAUCGGUAGAGGUUAGUUAACUCCCACACAAUCCUGUCUUCAAAACACAAUACUAACUGGCUCAAUAGCGUGAGACUCUUAAUCUCAAGGUUGCGGGUUCGACCCCCGCAUCGGGCU
Non-coding RNA from Annulohypoxylon bovei var. microspora, 130 nucleotides. The record is from the annotation of a GenBank genome assembly. Lineage: Eukaryota; Fungi; Ascomycota; Sordariomycetes; Xylariales; Hypoxylaceae.